Prinia subflava (tawny-flanked prinia) is the source of this 3503-nucleotide RNA transcript. It is a transcript of the gene named FCH and mu domain containing endocytic adaptor 1, with no coding region annotated. The record is from RefSeq and is a predicted model, not a curated record. The transcript is spliced from 29 exons. NCBI's taxonomy places the organism in Eukaryota, Metazoa, Chordata, Aves, Passeriformes, Cisticolidae.
CCCGCGGCGCGGUCCCGGCGCGGUCCCGGGGCGGCGGCGGCGGCAGCGGAGCGGGGCGGGGGCGGCGGCGGCCCCGCAGACCCCCGGCACGCCGAGGAUGCUCGGGGGGGCCCCGCGAACCCCGCAAGAGCCCAGGGGCACCGCGAGUUGAGCUGCGGGGUCCCCGCGCCGCUGUCCCCCCCUCAAGAUGUCCUAUUUCACCGAGCACUUCUGGGGCGAGAAGAACCACGGCUUCGACGUGCUCUACCACAACAUGAAGCACGGGCAGAUCUCCACCAAGGAGCUCGCCGACUUCGUCCGGGAGAGGGCUGCCAUCGAGGAGAACUACGCCAAGGCCAUGGUGAAGCUCUCGAAGAUGGCCACCAACGGCACCCAGCUGGGGACCUUCGCCCCGCUCUGGGAGGUUUUCCGCAUCUCCUCGGACAAGCUGGCCCUGUGCCACCUGGAGCUGAUGAAGAAGCUGCACGACCUCAUCAAGGAGAUCUCCCGCUACGGCGAGGAGCAGGGCCGGGUGCACAAGAAGUCCAAGGAGGAGGUGUCGGGCACGCUGGAGGCCGUGCAGCUCCUGCACGGCGUGGCCCAGCUGCUGCCCAAGUCCAAGGAGAGCUACCACAGCAAGUGCCAGGAGUACGAGAGGCUGCGCAAGGAGGGCACCAGCCAGAAGGAGAUCGACAAGGCGGAGCUGAAGUCGCGCAAGGCGGGCGAGGCGCUGCGCAGGGCGGUGGAGAAGUACAACGCUGCCCGCGCCGACUUCGAGCAGCGCAUGCUGGACUCGGCCGUGCGCUUCCAGGAGGUGGAGGAAGCCCACCUGCGGCACAUGAAGGGGCUCAUCGGCUCCUACUCCCACUCCGUGGAGGACACCCACGUCCAGAUCGGCCAGGUCCACGAGGAGUUCAAGCAGAACGUGGAGAACAUCGGCACGGAGAUGCUGCUGCGGAGGUUUGCCGAGAGCAAGGGCACGGGGAGAGAGCGGCCAGGAGCGCUGGAUUUCGAGGAGUACCGGCUGGCUCCAGCGCAGGAAGGACCCAAGAGGAGCCGGAGCAAAGCGUUCCGGAUCCCGGGCCUGAGCCGUAAGGAGCGGGAGCGCGAUGCCGUGGAAUCCCCGGAUAACGACCUGGGCUGCCCGGAGGUGGACGAGGACGGCUUCACCGUGCGCCCGGACAUCGCCCGCGGCGAGGCGGAGACCGCCGGGUGCUCCUCCAGCGACUCGGACUACGACGAGGACGAGCCGCGCAAGUUCUACGUGCGCAUCAAGCCCGUGCAGCCGCGGGAGGCGCCCGGCAGCGCCGAGGCCGCCGUGGAGCAGCUCAAGGCCACCGUGGGGAAUCUCAUCCUGGCCCCCGGGGUUGUUGGGGGCACGGUCAGGAGGCAGGCGUCACGACACGCGGCAUCCCUGACCCCGGCCCCCGGUGACACGGACCCCGAGGGGACACUGGCGGCGGGUGACAGCGCGGGGCGGGGUCUCCCGGCGGCGCAGGUGAACAGCGGCCCCGGGAAGCCCCCCCAGGACCCGCUGCCCUCGGCCGCUCUCUUCGGGCCCCCCCUGGAGUCGGCGUUCGAAGCAGAGGAAUUCCCGGCCCCCCGCUCCUACGUCCUCACCUCGUCGUCGUCGCCCUUCUCCUCCUCGUCCCCGGAGAACGUGGAGGACUCGGGGCUGGACUCGCCCUCGCACCCCGCGCCCGGACCCUCGCCCGGACCCUCGCCCGGACCCUCGCCCAGACCCUCGCCCGACUCGCGGCCCUGGAGCCCCCAGCCGGGCACGCCGCAGAGCCCCGGCCCCAAACCGCCGCCCCCCGGCAGUGCCUGGCCCCCCCGGCCCCGCAGCCCCUCCGGCCGCCUCCCCGAGCCCCCCAGCUUCGCCGUUUUCAGCGGCCCCGGCGCCGAGGGGCUCUGGGGGGACGCGGGGGCCGCGCCCCGGGGUCGCAGCCGCUGCCUCAGCGGCCCCACCCCACGUGAAGCCCCCUCCCCGGAUCCCUUCGGGGAGCCCCCGGCGUGGGGCAGAGCCCGCAGCCCCGGCGGGGAGCAGCCCCCGCUGACGCGGCCUUCCUCCAACUCGGCCUCCUCCUCAUCCUCCUCGCCGGCCCCCCCGAGCGGGGGGGAGUCCUCCAGCCCCUCCCCCUGGGGCUGCCAGGGGCCGGGGGCGAGGCUGAGCGAGGGGGGGCCCGGCGGGGACGCCCCCCCUGCAGUCGGAGCCGGAUUCCGCCCCCUCCUGGCCCGGCGCCGCCCACCGGGACGUUCCUCUCGUGGCCCCCCCGCGCCGCUCCCGCUCCAAGCGGCCGCCGGCGGGGCCGGCCGCGGGCAGCAACAGCGACCUGUCGCGCUCGCUGAGCCCCUCGCCCUCCUGGAGCUGCGGCCCCUCGCACUCCGCCCCCGCCAGCCUGGGCGAGCGCGGCUUCUUCUCCGCGGCGCCGCCCGCGCUCGGGCUGUCGCGGGGCCCCAGCCCGGUGGUGCUGGGCUCGCAGGACGCGCUGCCCGUGGCCGCCGCCUUCACCGAGUACGUGCACGCCUACUUCAAGGGCCGCGACGCCGACAGCUGCCUGGUGAAGGUGACAGGCGAGCUGACCAUGUCCUUCCCCGCGGGCAUCGUGCGCGUCUUCGGCGGCGCCGCCGCCCCGCCCGUGCUCAGCUUCAGGCUGCUCAACGCGGGCGCCAUCGAGCAGUUCCUGCCCAACGCCGAGCUGCUCUACAGCGACCCCUCGCAGAGCGACCCCAGCACCAAGGACUUCUGGCUGAACAUGGCAGCGCUGACGGGGCAGCUGCAGCGGCAGGCGGAGCAGAGCCCGGCCGCCUCCUACUACAACGUGGCUCUGCUCAAGUACCAGUUCUCGCGGCUGGGCCCCGGCGCGGCGCCGCUGCGGCUCUGCGUGCGCUGGGACUGCGCGCCCGGCUCCACGCGGGUCAGCGUCGAGUACGGCUACAACGCGGCCGCCCUGGCGCUGCCCGUGCCCCUGGGCAACGUGCACGUCCUGCUGCCCCUCGAGGAGCCCCUCAGCAACCUGCGGCUGCAGCCCGCGGGCAGCUGGAACCUGGAGGAGAAGCGGCUGCUCUGGAAGCUGCUGGACAUCCCCGGCGCCCCGGGGCAGGGAGGCUGCGGGCGGCUCUGGGCCAGCUGGGAGCCGCGGGGCGGGCCCAGUAAGCCCAGUCCCGUGGCCGCCCAGUUCAGCAGCGAGGGCAGCACCUUGUCGGGGGUGGAGGUGGAGCUGGCGGGCGCCGGGUACCGCAUGUCGCUGGUCAAGAAGAGGUUUGCUACAGGGAUUUACCUGGCGGGGUCCUGAGCGGCUCCCGGACCCCCCCGAGCCCCUCCCGGGCUUUUCCCGUGGUUGUGUGAAUUUGGAAACACUGGAUGGAGGCGGGCUGGGGAGGGGCCGCCUCCCCUUCCUCCCCCUCCUCCUCUUCCUCCUCCUCCUGCUCCUGCUCCCGUCCCUGUCGCUGUCCCCGCGCCCUCCCCCGUGCUGUGAAGGGAGCAGGAGCUGCUCUUUUAUUAAACACUUUAUUUUCUAAUA